RNAcentral lists this ribosomal RNA (250 nucleotides) under uncultured bacterium. RNAcentral's name for it is "partial 16S ribosomal RNA". It matches the Rfam family "Bacterial small subunit ribosomal RNA", at positions 355 to 597 of the family's 1533-position model. The record is from RNAcentral.
GGGGGAAUUUUGGACAAUGGGGGAAACCCUGAUCCAGCAACGCCGCGUGAAUGAAGAAGGCCUUCGGGUUGUAAAGUUCUUUUGUCAGGGAGCAAAGGGUUUGUGCUAAUACCACAAACUGUUGAGAGUACCUGAAGAAUAAGCACCGGCUAACUACGUGCCAGCAGCCGCGGUAAUACGUAGGGUGCAAGCGUUAAUCGGAAUUACUGGGCGUAAAGCGUGCGCAGGCGGAUGAUUAAGUUAGGAGUGA